UACGUAGGGUGCGAGCGUUAAUCGGAAUUACUGGGCGUAAAGCGUGCGCAGGCGGUUCGACAAGUCAGAUGUGAAAUCCCCGGGCUCAACCUGGGAACUGCGUUUGAAACUAUCGAGCUAGAAUAGGUCAGAGGGGGGUAGAAUUCCACGUGUAGCAGUGAAAUGCGUAGAGAUGUGGAGGAAUAUCAAUGGCGAAGGCAGCCCCCUGGGAUCAUAUUGACGCUCAUGCACGAAAGCGUGGGGAGCAAACAGG
Molecule: ribosomal RNA, 253 nt
Filed under: uncultured bacterium
Lineage: Bacteria
Description: partial 16S ribosomal RNA
Rfam family: Bacterial small subunit ribosomal RNA
Source: RNAcentral